This is a small nuclear RNA of Erinaceus europaeus (western European hedgehog), 107 nucleotides long. The record is from Ensembl. Lineage: Eukaryota; Metazoa; Chordata; Mammalia; Eulipotyphla; Erinaceidae.
GUGCUUGCUUUGGCAGCACAUAUACUAAAAUUGGAAUAAUACAAAGAAGAUUAGCACGUCCCCUGUGCAAAGAUGACACACAAAUUCACCAAGUAUUCCAAGAUUUU